CUUUUUUCUCACUCGUUCAACCCUGCGGUUUACGUGGUGAUGUAGCUAAUUUGUGCAUCUUUUCUAACGACCGCAAGGGCGGCACGCGAGCGGAAAAGUGUGCCUUGCGACUGACUGGCAACCAAUCCAAGGCGGAGUCUUACCUACCGCCUGAGUUUGUUGACCAGUGGGGGCCACCAUAAGAGAGCCAAAUCA
Long non-coding RNA from Syngnathoides biaculeatus (alligator pipefish), 195 nucleotides. RefSeq lists it as uncharacterized. The transcript is spliced from 3 exons. The record is from RefSeq and is a predicted model, not a curated record. NCBI's taxonomy places the organism in Eukaryota, Metazoa, Chordata, Actinopteri, Syngnathiformes, Syngnathidae.